Molecule: non-coding RNA, 73 nt
Filed under: unclassified sequences
Source: RNAcentral
ACCCCACACGACGCGCGCCUCCGAGUGGCGUGGGGUGGGCAACUACUCCUUGUGGAGUAGGCUAAGCGCGUCU